AUGGACAAAAUCGUUUUGUUUCCAUAUCCAGCUAGCCUGAAAAAUUGCUGUUCAUAUACUGAGGCCAGGGAUGUGACAAAUUCAGAUAAGGUUGAUCAUUUUUUUUCUAAAAAGUGUCUAUCCAUUUUUCACUACUGGGAUAACAACAGAAAAAUAAAGUUACUCACCAGGCGAAGUUACUAUGAGCCUAGUCCCUUCAGCAAAUUUCUUGAUCCACCAAGUGUAAUCCCAUCCUGCACAGUAGUAAAUGGCCAUGUCUUCCUUCUCUACGGACUUGAUGGUAAGGAUUGAAGUGAGAGUUUGAGAAUUCUUUCUCGCUUCCACUUUGUUGCUCCUCUUACCCAUGCUGCCAUGAACUGCGGAUGUUGUUGAGACAAUAUAGAUCAGAUGCUCCAAAGCCUGAUUCGGUUUCUGCCGGUACCAGUGAAUGGCAUCGCUUUCAAAGUUUGUGCUCCUUAUCUUGCAAGAUAUGUCAAUACUUUUCUUGACUUCCGUGGAAAUGGAUAGCUGGAACUGCUCCACUUUCGAUAAUCCAAGUCCAACUGUAAGUAAAAGAGGAGAAUUUCCAAUGAACAUCUGAGAGUGGAAGAGGGAAACAUUGAUGAAUUAUUUUGGUCAUGCAGCUAGACUGAAAUGUUCAGACAGCAACUCACGUGCCCAGAAGGACGAGAAGGCGAAUGCUUCCAGCAGUGACAUCCUGUCUUCAGGGUGGUGUCCCCAAGGAGAAGGCAGGAAAGUGCGGACCUGGUGGCUAGACACCUCGGGUCAGGGGCUGGAGGGUGUGGCCUGAAUUGGGGAGAGAAAAGAAAGUGGUUUUUUGGGCCCUUCAGUGCCGCCUGCAGGCUCAGCACUGCACCCUGCUCACCCUGCUUAUCUCAGAUCAGGCUAGCAGUCUCGACGGGGUUCUCUGCCCGAAUUUGAGGGGGCCAUUGGGAUUGCUUAAUUUCUAUGGAAAUGAGAAGGAUUUCUAAUUGCUUAGGAGUUGUUCAUAAACACUUUUCCUCAGCAUAAUAUUUUAAAUUGUUGCAUAUUUAAUAAACAUUAACUUUUAUAAUAGCAAAUACUUACUGAGCAUUUUCUAUUUGCUAGCCUUUUAUUUCUAAAUGAUUUUCACCUUCUAAUCUUCACAAUGAUCACGUAAUAUGGGUACUUGGAAUUUUCAUUUUAUGGAUGAGGUAAUGAGGCACAGAGUCAUCAAGUAACGGCACAGAAGUCACACAGCGGAUAGGUAGAACGUGCUGGUAACGGUGCUGGUCGAAGAAACUCAGAGCAAUGGGGAAAGAUAACAAUAAAAACAUCUAUGGUCAUAUCACGAAGGCCCACUACUAUUCGCAUUAUCAUAUGCUCGACAGUAGAUUUUUUCAUUGUAGAUACAUGAAUAUUAAUAUGAUUUUAUGGACUAUAGAUAUAUUUACAUGUAUAGUGUUCUGUAUUCUUUCAGUUCAGCUUAUAUUCUGAGCAACUUCCCAUGUCA
RNAcentral lists this long non-coding RNA (1474 nucleotides) under Macaca fascicularis (crab-eating macaque). Its description in RNAcentral is "lncRNA (ENSMFAG00000052215.1)". The record is from RNAcentral. Lineage: Eukaryota; Metazoa; Chordata; Mammalia; Primates; Cercopithecidae.